UGGGGAAUUUUGGACAAUGGGGGCAACCCUGAUCCAGCAAUGCCGCGUGUGUGAAGAAGGCCUUCGGGUUGUAAAGCACUUUUGUCCGGAAAGAAAACGUCGUGGUUAAUACCCGUGGCGGCUGACGGUACCGGAAGAAUAAGCACCGGCUAACUACGUGCCAGCAGCCGCGGUAAUACGUAGGGUGCAAGCGUUAAUCGGAAUUACUGGGCGUAAAGCGUGCGCAGGCGGUCCGCUAAGACAGAUGUGAAAUCCCCGGGCUUAACCUGGGAACUGCAUUUGUGACUGGCGGGCUAGAGUAUGGCAGAGGGGGGUAGAAUUCCACGUGUAGCAGUGAAAUGCGUAGAGAUGUGGAGGAAUACCGAUGGCGAAGGCAGCCCCCUGGGCCAAUACUGACGCUCAUGCACGAAAGCGUGGGGGAGCAAACAGGAUUAGAUACCCUGGUAGUCCACGCCCUAAACGAUGUCAACUAGUUGUUGGGGAUUCAUUUCCUUAGUAACGUAGCUAACGCGUGAAGUUGACCGCCUGGGGAGUACGGUCGCAAGA
This 546-nucleotide ribosomal RNA is filed under the name uncultured bacterium. Its description in RNAcentral is "partial 16S ribosomal RNA". It matches the Rfam family "Bacterial small subunit ribosomal RNA", at positions 355 to 893 of the family's 1533-position model. The record is from RNAcentral.